UACGGAGGGUGCAAGCGUUAUCCGGAUUCACUGGGCUUAAAGGGUGCGUAGGUGGGCAAGUAAGUCAGUGGUGAAAUCUCCGGGCUUAACUCGGAAACUGCCAUUGAUACUAUUUGUCUUGAAUACUGUGGAGGUCAGCGGAAUAUGUCAUGUAGCGGUGAAAUGCUUAGAUAUGACGUAGAACACCAAUUGCGAAGGCAGCUGGCUACACAAAUAUUGACACUGAGGCACGAAAGCGUGGGGAUCAAACAGG
RNAcentral lists this ribosomal RNA (253 nucleotides) under uncultured bacterium. RNAcentral describes it as "partial 16S ribosomal RNA". It matches the Rfam family "Bacterial small subunit ribosomal RNA", at positions 524 to 776 of the family's 1533-position model. The record is from RNAcentral.